UCAGAGUAAUAGAUUGAAUUGGGGAAACUGCUUGAAGUUUUUGGAAUCUCUCUCAUUGAUUUCUACAUGUGUUUGCAAGUAGAAUUCGAUAUAUUUUGUAGAAGCCUCGAUGGACUCUUCAAAUUAAAGUCUUGUAUCUGGCAAUUUUCUGUUGGGAAGUAUUUAAUCUAAACUUUUGUAUCAGGAUGCUCUUGAUUAAGCCCCAACUCUGACCUCGUGGGGUUCGAUUGGACUGAUAGGCAACGACUUUCUUUGAAGGUACAUGUGAUGAUUCUUUGCUUCGAUUAAUUGUGGAGAAUGAAAAGAAGAUUGAUCAAAUCAAGAAAUGCUUACGGAGAUUUGGGAGGAAGCAUGUAGACUCAAAUAUGUAGUUUUUGUUUUUUAAUGCAAUGUUUACAAUCAGGGGGUACUCUUUUUCCUUCUGUUAAUGCAAUGAAAAGAAGAUUGUCUUUUGUAAAAUCUUAUAAUUUUAAUAAAAAUAAUUAAUUGAUAAUU
Molecule: long non-coding RNA, 495 nt
Organism: Asparagus officinalis (garden asparagus)
Lineage: Eukaryota; Viridiplantae; Streptophyta; Magnoliopsida; Asparagales; Asparagaceae
Exons: 3
Source: RefSeq, a predicted model, not a curated record